UGGCGUUUCUCGGAACGUUGCCUUUUGAGAGGAAAGCCAAAUGGCACUCAGCGUUGAAGAAAAAGCUCAAAUCGUAACCGACUACCAGCAAGCUGUU
Non-coding RNA from Pseudomonas chlororaphis subsp. aureofaciens 30-84, 97 nucleotides. The record is from Rfam. Lineage: Bacteria; Pseudomonadati; Pseudomonadota; Gammaproteobacteria; Pseudomonadales; Pseudomonadaceae.